UACGUAGGGUGCAAGCGUUGUCCGGAAUUAUUGGGCGUAAAGAGCUCGUAGGCGGUUCGUCGCGUCGGCUGUGAAAUCCCGAGGCUCAACCUCGGGUCUGCAGUCGAUACGGGCGGACUGGAGUUCGGCAGGGGAGACUGGAAUUCCUGGUGUAGCGGUGAAAUGCGCAGAUAUCAGGAGGAACACCGGUGGCGAAGGCGGGUCUCUGGGCCGGUACUGACGCUGAGGUGCGAAAGCGUGGGGAGCAAACAGG
Molecule: ribosomal RNA, 253 nt
Filed under: uncultured bacterium
Lineage: Bacteria
Description: partial 16S ribosomal RNA
Rfam family: Bacterial small subunit ribosomal RNA
Source: RNAcentral